UAAAAUCAAAAAGCGCCUGAGCUUGAAAGGGACCUUCCUUUUAAGCUGACGAGGAUGGGGUUUAUCGAGAAUUCGGCGGGUGCCCCACGGAGCCUGCCCUCCGAAGGAAGCCUACAAAACCGGCAAGCGAUUGCCGGGACAAAGGGGCUUCCAGGCAGAAAG
RNAcentral lists this non-coding RNA (162 nucleotides) under Thermovenabulum gondwanense. RNAcentral describes it as "GlcN6P sequence". It matches the Rfam family "glmS glucosamine-6-phosphate activated ribozyme aptamer". Rfam says of the family: This entry contains a glucosamine-6-phosphate activated ribozyme that is found in the mRNA for GlmS. GlmS is an enzyme that uses fructose-6-phosphate and glutamine to generate glucosamine-6-phosphate. The record is from Rfam by way of RNAcentral. Lineage: Bacteria; Bacillati; Bacillota; Clostridia; Thermosediminibacterales; Thermosediminibacteraceae.